CUUGACCGAGCCGCGCCGCAGCGGCCGGUCGGCGGGCCGGUCCCGGCCGUACGCGGCGAGCCGCGCCUGGCCCUC
Molecule: antisense RNA, 75 nt
Filed under: Streptomyces rubellomurinus subsp. indigoferus
Lineage: Bacteria; Bacillati; Actinomycetota; Actinomycetes; Kitasatosporales; Streptomycetaceae
Description: ASpks sRNA
Rfam family: ASpks TB sRNA
Source: RNAcentral